This 1002-nucleotide long non-coding RNA is filed under the name Anser brachyrhynchus (Pink-footed goose). RNAcentral's name for it is "lncRNA (ENSABRG00000018195.1)". The record is from RNAcentral. Lineage: Eukaryota; Metazoa; Chordata; Aves; Anseriformes; Anatidae.
AUGCCCAGCGCGUCCCGUCCCCUCGCCCAUCCCUCCCCUCGCUGCUCCCAGGCGCCCAGAAGCACCCAGACAAAUUACUCAGCCCGCCGCCGUUUUGCAGCGGCGGAGAAGCGGCGGCGGCUCCGGCAGGGAGCUCCCUUCACCGCCGGUAUUUUUAUCCUGAGGAAGCCACCUGCGUUUUCCGUGAGCCCGGGAGAAGUUUUUAGGCUGAUCCCCGGGCACGCGGCCGGCACCCCAACCUCAGGAUGCUCUGAAGGGCAGAGCCCGGCCCCAGCCCAGCCGUGCCCGGCCCCAGCCCCGCUGCCGGCGCUGGGCACGGGAGCGGCCCCGCACGGCCCCGCACCGCACCCGGAGCUCCGCACCCCGAGACCCCCUCGCGGAUCCCGCAGCCCACGGCGCUGCUCCGCGUCUGCCCUAAACCCCGCUGGGGUCUCCCGGGGGCGCUCGGGUCCUCUCUCUCCCGGCCCCCCGUUUCCAGAAGCGGAGAUUAUCGGGGGAGACAGCCGCGCACCCACACCGGGACGUAGCCCAGCCCAGCCGGCGCAGCGCCGCCCGGAGCCCCAGCCCCGGGAGGGCUCCGCCGGCUGCGGGGACCCGCCGGCACCGGCUGCCACGCACGGCAAGUUGCCGCUGGCGGCGGGGAUGGCCCCUCGGCGGCAGCCCCGUCCCGCCCCGUCCCGCCCCGCUCACCUGCGCUCAGCAGCGCCGCCGCCCGCCCGGGGCCGCCGCCGCCGCCCUCCUCCUCCGCAUGGCGCCGGCACGGGAGCGCCGGGAGCAGCGGCCCGGAGCGCGGCCGGGGCUGCCCUGCCCUGCGCUGGGCUGGGCUCGGCUCGGCUGGGCUGGGCCGGGCUCCGCUCCGCCACCGCCUCCCCGCCGUGGCGCCGCCCAACGGCUGCGGCAGCGCCCGGCUCCCGCGAUACUUGGCCUGGCACGGCCCGGCACGGCUCGGCCGAGCCUCCCCGAGACCCCCGGGAGCUCGGCGGUGCUGGAGGGCUGCGGUGA